AUGCAUGUCUCAGUACAAGCCGUCCUGUACGGUGAAACCGCGAAAGGCUCAUUAAAUCAGUUAUGGUUCCUUAGAUCGUACCCACGUUACAUGGAUAACUGUGGUAAUUCUAGAGCUAAUACAUGCCGACAGAGCUCCGACCAGCGUGUCUACGUUCGGCGGUUCGCCCGUCGUCGUCGGCCGUUCGGAAGGAGCGCUUUUAUUAGAUCAAAACCGGCCAAACGUCUCGGUCGCGUUCCGCGUGACCGGGCGUAAGUGGCCCGCGCAAAGACUUGACGACUCUGAAUAACUUCGAGCUGAUCGCACGGUCCUAGUACCGGCGACGUAUCUUUCAAAUGUCUGCCUUAUCAACUGUCGACGGUAGAUUCUACGCCUACCGUGGUGGUAACGGGUAACGGGGAAUCAGGGUUCGAUUCCGGAGAGGGAGCCUGAGAAACGGCUACCACAUCCAAGGAAGGCAGCAGGCGCGUAAAUUAUCCACUCCUA
Molecule: ribosomal RNA, 486 nt
Filed under: Coccus hesperidum
Lineage: Eukaryota; Metazoa; Arthropoda; Insecta; Hemiptera; Coccidae
Also listed under: 1 other name
Description: SSU rRNA
Rfam family: Eukaryotic small subunit ribosomal RNA
Source: RNAcentral